CUAGGGAUGGAGAUGUGACUAGGUACUAGGGAUGGAGAUGUGACUAGGUACUAGGGAUGGAGAUGUGACCAGGUGCUAUGGAUGGAGAUGUGACCAGGUGCUAGGGAUGGAGAUGUGACUAGGUACUAGGGAUGGAGAUGUGACUAGGUACUAGGGAUGGAGAUGUGACUAGGUACUAGGGAUGGAGAUGUGACCAGGUGCUAGGGAUGGAGAUGUGACUAGGUACUAGGGAUGGAGAUGUGACUAGGUACUAGGGAUGGAGAUGUGACCAGGUGCUAUGGAUGGAGAUGUGACCAGGUGCUAGGGAUGGAGAUGUGACUAGGUACUAGGGAUGGAGAUGUGACCAGGUACUAGGGAUGGAGAUGUGACCAGGUACUUGGGAUGGAGAUGUGACUAGGUACUAGGGAUGGAGAUGUGACCAGGUACUAGGGAU
Long non-coding RNA from Oncorhynchus tshawytscha (Chinook salmon), 433 nucleotides. NCBI's taxonomy places the organism in Eukaryota, Metazoa, Chordata, Actinopteri, Salmoniformes, Salmonidae. The record is from Ensembl.